RNAcentral lists this ribosomal RNA (406 nucleotides) under Mantella nigricans. Its description in RNAcentral is "partial 12S ribosomal RNA". It matches the Rfam family "Bacterial small subunit ribosomal RNA", at positions 780 to 1397 of the family's 1533-position model. The record is from RNAcentral. Lineage: Eukaryota; Metazoa; Chordata; Amphibia; Anura; Mantellidae.
AGAUACCCCACUAUGCCUAGCCGUAAAAAAUUUAUUUACACUAAUAAGCGCCAGGGAAUUACGAGCGCAAGCUUAAAAUCCAAAGGAUUUGACGGUGUCCCACCCACCUAGAGGAGCCUGUUCUAUAAUCGAUAAUCCUCGAUAUACCCAACCAUUUCUUGCUUUUCAGCCUGUAUACCUCCGUCGUAAGCUUACCAUUUGAAUGUAAAAAAGUAAGUUUAAGGAUCAUUCAUCAACACGUCAGGUCAAGGUGCAGCCAAUGUAAUGGAAAGUAAUGGGCUACAAUUUCUAUAAUAGAACAAACGAAACACUGCAUGAAAAAUUAGUCAUGAAGGCGGAUUUAGUAGUAAAAAAAGAAUAGAGUGCUUUUUUUAACAAGGCUCUGGGAUGUGUACACACCGCCCGU